UGUAAUGAAUGGAUCAUUAAC
RNAcentral lists this unclassified non-coding RNA (21 nucleotides) under Dictyostelium discoideum. The record is from RNAcentral. Lineage: Eukaryota; Evosea; Eumycetozoa; Dictyosteliales; Dictyosteliaceae.